GUGGGUACAGUUCAGUGGUAGAGUGCAUGCCUAGCAUUCAUGAGGUCCUGGGUUCAAUCCCCAGUACCUCCA
RNAcentral lists this transfer RNA (72 nucleotides) under Camelus bactrianus (Bactrian camel). It matches the Rfam family "tRNA". Rfam says of the family: Transfer RNA (tRNA) molecules are approximately 80 nucleotides in length. Their secondary structure includes four short double-helical elements and three loops (D, anti-codon, and T loops). Lineage: Eukaryota; Metazoa; Chordata; Mammalia; Artiodactyla; Camelidae. RNAcentral also lists the same sequence under 2 other names. The record is from Rfam by way of RNAcentral.